Ceratobasidium sp. AG-Ba is the source of this 72-nucleotide non-coding RNA. Lineage: Eukaryota; Fungi; Basidiomycota; Agaricomycetes; Cantharellales; Ceratobasidiaceae. The record is from the annotation of a GenBank genome assembly.
UCCGUUGUGGUGUAACGGCUAACAUGACCGCCUCUUAGGUGGUAGCUCUGGGUUCGACUCCUAGUGAGGGAG